AUUGAACGCUGGCGGCAGGCUUAACACAUGCAAGUCGAGCGAGCGGCGGACGGGUGAGUAAUGUCUGGGAACCUGCCAGAUGGCGGGGGAUAACUACUGGAAACGGUAGCUAAUACCGCAUACCAUCAGAUGUGCCCAGGUGGGAGUAGCUAGUAGGUGGGGUAAUGGCUCACCUCGGCGACGAUCCCUAGCUGGUCUGAGAGGAUGACCGGCCACACUGGAACUGAGACACGGUCCAGACUCCGACGGGAGGCAGCAGUGGGGAAUAUUGCACAAUGGGCGAAAGCCUGAUGGAGCCAUGCCGCGUGUGUGAAGAAGGCCUUCGGUGUGUAAAGCACUGUCAGCGAGGAGGCGUUACUCGAAGAGGAAGCACCGGCUAACUCCGUGCCAGCAGCCGCGGUAAUAC
Molecule: ribosomal RNA, 406 nt
Filed under: uncultured bacterium
Lineage: Bacteria
Description: partial 16S ribosomal RNA
Rfam family: Bacterial small subunit ribosomal RNA
Source: RNAcentral